GCAUAUCAAUAAGCGGAGGAAAAGAAACCAACAGGGAUUGCCUCAGUAACGGCGAGUGAAGCGGCAAGAGCUCAAAUUUGAAAGCUGGCCCCCUCGGGGUCCGCGUUGUAAUUUGCAGAGGAUGCUUCGGGUGCAGCCCCCGUCUAAGUGCCCUGGAACGGGCCGUCAUAGAGGGUGAGAAUCCCGUCUGGGACGGGGUGUCUGCGUCCGUGUGAAGCUCCUUCGACGAGUCGAGUUGUUUGGGAAUGCAGCUCUAAAUGGGUGGUAAAUUUCAUCUAAAGCUAAAUACUGGCCGGAGACCGAUAGCGCACAAGUAGAGUGAUCGAAAGAUGAAAAGCACUUUGAAAAGAGAGUUAAACAGCACGUGAAAUUGUUGAAAGGGAAGCGUUUGCGACCAGACUCGCCCGCGGGGUUCAGCCGGCAUUCGUGCCGGUGUACUUCCCCGUGGGCGGGCCAGCGUCGGUUUGGGCGGCCGGUCAAAGGCCCUCGGAAUGUAUCACCUCUCGGGGUGUCUUAUAGCCGAGGGUGCAAUGCGGCCUGCCCGGACCGAGGAACGCGCUUCGGCUCGGACGCUGGCGUAAUGGUCGUAAAUGACCCGUCUUGAAACACGGACC
This 614-nucleotide ribosomal RNA is filed under the name Aspergillus fischeri. Its description in RNAcentral is "LSU rRNA". It matches the Rfam family "Eukaryotic large subunit ribosomal RNA", at positions 38 to 667 of the family's 3401-position model. Lineage: Eukaryota; Fungi; Ascomycota; Eurotiomycetes; Eurotiales; Aspergillaceae. The record is from RNAcentral.